UGAAGUUGGAAUCGCUAGUAAUCGCGGAUCAGCAUGCCGCGGUGAAUACGUUCCCGGGCCUUGUACACACCGCCCGUCACACCAUGAGAGUCGGGAACACCCGAAGUCCGUAGUCUAACUUUCACGAGAGGACGCGGCCGGAGGUGGGUUCGAUAAUUGGGUGAAGUCGUAACAAGGUAGC
RNAcentral lists this ribosomal RNA (181 nucleotides) under uncultured bacterium. RNAcentral's name for it is "partial 16S ribosomal RNA". It matches the Rfam family "Bacterial small subunit ribosomal RNA", at positions 1321 to 1500 of the family's 1533-position model. The record is from RNAcentral.